GCCCGCGAUUUGCAAUAAUGGACGAAAAGGACGAGCGAUGAAAACACGACUGGGGGCUAGAUUGGAGCUCACGCAGGCUACGGGGCAGCUGAAUUUCAGUGUCGAGGACUCUCCGCCUUCAUCUCCACUCUUGAGAGAUCCAGACAAAGUUGCGCUUGGCAACCCUUAAACUAUCACCCCACCGCACUGACCCCAUCACUUAAAAAAACCACUCGGGUGAACCCCCGGCUAAUAACGCAUUCGAUUUCUCCUUUUUAAACGCCCCCACCACUUCUCGGUAGGAUCUCGACCGCUCCGAUCGCUCCUAACGGAGGGUCUCUGAGUCCCGGGCCGCGUCCUCCCCACCGCUACCUAGUUUCUUUCGAUGACGACGACGAACAGGCACCGGAGGUUGAACGCUAAAUGAAAACGGCAAAUCGAUUGGCGCCACAAACCGGGAAGAGGAUGCAGCCACCCAGCCUCCACUUGCCCAGAGCUGGGCCGCCUCCGUUUAGCGAUAAUAAUGGUAACGCCGAUGAUAAAGACGACGACAUCGACGCCGUAACCGGAGACGAGGAGGGUAAAAGGAGGCUGCGGGAAGAAAAAUGCUGCAAAAUGACACCACCAGCUACCUUCCAUUUUUUUCUGAUGCCGCCAUCCAGGGCACAAGCAUUUACUUAUUACUGACUAAUUAGUAUCCUACUGGUUAACUUCUUCAGUAAUAUUUUGGCCACCGUCUUCAACAUUGCAUCCGGAGACUUCCCAGAAUUUUAUUUUGCUGUUUACCAACACCUUUCUGAAACAAUAAUUUUUCCAAAUAUUUGAUGUUAAUGUGAUUUUUUUGGAAGAAUGGAGCCUAAGAUAUGACACUGAGAGUGGGUGGCCAGCAGCAUUACAAGGCACAGUAGGUAUAUUCGGGUAGAGAGGCUACCAUCAGCUCCACAUCAAUCAACGGUAUUUAUUGAGCACUUACUGUGUGCAGAACAAUGUACUAAGUGUUUGGAAGAGUAUAAUAUAAUAGAGUUGGUAGACACGUUCCCUUCCCACAAUCUGCUUACGGUCUAAAGGGAGCUAAUUGGGGUACAGCUGGGGUGCUUCAAGCUCACACCCUGGGACCUAGAAAAGCACAGGCCCU
RNAcentral lists this long non-coding RNA (1114 nucleotides) under Ornithorhynchus anatinus (platypus). RNAcentral describes it as "lncRNA (ENSOANG00000033684.2)". The record is from RNAcentral. Lineage: Eukaryota; Metazoa; Chordata; Mammalia; Monotremata; Ornithorhynchidae.